UACGUAGGGGGCAAGCGUUGCUCGGAAUCACUGGGUUUAAAGGGUGCGUAGGUGGCUUUGUAAGUCAGUGGUGAAAGCCCGGAGCUCAACUCCGGAACUGCCAUUGAUACUGCUUAGCUUGAAUCACGUCGAGGUGGAUGGAAUAAUACAUGUAGCGGUGAAAUGCUUAGAUAUGUAUUAGAACACCGAUUGCGAAGGCAGUUCACUAGGCGUGUAUUGACACUGAGGCACGAAAGCGUGGGGAUCAAACAGG
Molecule: ribosomal RNA, 253 nt
Filed under: uncultured bacterium
Lineage: Bacteria
Description: partial 16S ribosomal RNA
Rfam family: Bacterial small subunit ribosomal RNA
Source: RNAcentral